This 442-nucleotide ribosomal RNA is filed under the name uncultured bacterium. RNAcentral's name for it is "partial 16S ribosomal RNA". It matches the Rfam family "Bacterial small subunit ribosomal RNA", at positions 338 to 795 of the family's 1533-position model. The record is from RNAcentral.
CCUACGGGCGGCAGCAGUGGGGAAUAUUGGGCAAUGGAGGAAACUCUGACCCAGCAACGCCGCGUGAAUGAUGAAGGUCUUCGGAUUGUAAAGUUCUUUUCUAAGGGAAGAAGAAAGUGACGGUACCUUAGGAAUAAGCCUCGGCUAACUACGUGCCAGCAGCCGCGGUAAUACGUAGGAGGCGAGCGUUAUCCGGAUUUAUUGGGUUUAAAGGGUGCGCAGGCGGAGGUGCAAGUCAGCGGUCAAAUUGCGGGGCUCAACCCCGUACUGCCGUUGAAACUGCAUCCCUUGAGUGCGCGAGAAGUAUGCGGAAUGCGUGGUGUAGCGGUGAAAUGCAUAGAUAUCACGCAGAACUCCGAUUGCGAAGGCAGCAUACCGGCGCGCAACUGACGCUCAUGCACGAAAGCGUGGGUAUCGAACAGGAUUAGAUACCCUGGUAGUC